AGUGAUGUUUAUAGCUUUGGGAUUGUUGUUUUGGAGAUAAUGUGUGGGAGAAAAGCUCUUGAUUUGUCUUCAUCAGGGUCGCCACGAGCUUUUUUGAUCACUGAUUGGGUUUGGUCAUUGAUGAAAGCUGGAAAAGUAGAAGAUGCCUUGGAUGUUUCUUUGCUGAGAGAUGGGGAGUUUUCAAAUUCGAAUCCAAGGGCCAUAAUGGAGAGGUUUGUGCUUGUUGGGAUUUUGUGUGCCCAUGUGAUGGUGGCCUUAAGGCCUACUAUAUCGGACGCUCUGAAAAUGUUGGAAGGAGACAUUGAAGUUCCGCCUGUUCCUGAUCGGCCGAUGCCUCUUAGCCAUCCUUCAUCUUUUGGUGAUGGCUUCACCAUCUCCCCAGCACUGAGUUUUCCACAAUUGAAUAGUGGAGACAUGCUCAGGUAAGCAUUGCCUAAAUGGAUGUAGGAAAAUGGAGCAAUAUUUAUAUACAAAUCAUUCCUUCAGUUGAUUCAAGAGAAUCUUUUUUAGUGAAAAUGGACUGAUAUAAGAAUUCUUGAAUCAAUGAAAUGGAUAUCAGUUAGCAUGUGAUUCAUGUCCAAGGACCUCAAGUUAAGGGCGCUAGUGUCUGAGCCUGCUAAUUUCUGACAGUAUGUAUCAUAAACAUGGAUGCUUUAUGUUCUGAUACAUCAAAAAUGGCUUAUGUGACUUAUUAGUGUAAUUGAAGCUUUGAAUUUUUACUACCAAUCCAGGGAUGCAUUGAGUAAAGUUUGAACAUCGAGAAAAUAGAUGCAAAAGGACAAUUGGGAAUCAACAACUGCCUUGUAAUUGAAGAUUUUUUUUUUCCUUUUGAAUUUUUAUCUUUGCUUAGGAUGUUGUUACCCAAAAAUAGGACCAUGUAUAGAAUCUCUCUGUAGAAAGAAAAUUCAUAGGAAAUCACUAUGUAAUUUUCAAUAUUUCAUAUACUCUUUAUGCAUUAAAAUGUAAAAAUUUUCCCUGUUUUUCUCUUUUUCCUUUUGUAAGAAAGCUUGCUAUUACUUGUGUUCAGCUGUGACUUGUCAAAUAAAAAGGAAAUAGAUUUAGAAAGCUUUUCUUCUCUUGUAUGUGUCGGCAUUCUGUUAUGAGAGAGGGUUAUGGAGGGAAAAGCUAGUAUUGCAGUUACAUAUGUCUUAGAAGAGUAGUUAUAACUAAUAGAAAAGUUGCUAGCUAGAAGUAUAAAAAUAGAA
RNAcentral lists this unclassified non-coding RNA (1205 nucleotides) under Hevea brasiliensis (rubber tree). The record is from RNAcentral. Lineage: Eukaryota; Viridiplantae; Streptophyta; Magnoliopsida; Malpighiales; Euphorbiaceae.